This 588-nucleotide unclassified non-coding RNA is filed under the name Hevea brasiliensis (rubber tree). The record is from RNAcentral. Lineage: Eukaryota; Viridiplantae; Streptophyta; Magnoliopsida; Malpighiales; Euphorbiaceae.
GUUUGCUGUUGUGCGUUCUAAAAUCAUUCAACUGAAGCUCAUAGUUUCUCAGAGAAAUCCUUCCUCAACCAAGAGAGUCCUUAAAGCUGACCAUAUUGUGACGACUAUGUUUGUUGGGAAUUUCAUUGGCAUUAUAUGUGCCCGAUCCCUCCAUUACCAAUUUUAUUCUUGGUACUUCUAUUGCUUACCAUAUUUAUUGUGGAAAGCACCAUUUCCAACCCUCCUACGUUUAUUCUUGUUCGCAGCUGUAGAGUUUUGCUGGAAUGUCUUCCCCUCCAACACUUACUCAUCACUUGUCCUCCUCUGUGUCCAUUUGAUCAUAUUGGCCGGUCUAUGGAUAAGUUCACCAGAAUAUCCGUACGUCGAAGAAAAAACAACUGAUAAAUCUACACCUAAGAAGAAGGCCAGAUAAAGCACUAUCUGGUUAUGCAUGUGAAUGGCAAAAUCCACCCCCCCAGGCGUCAUUGGGUAUUACUGAGAGGAGUUUUUGUUUUUCUGUUUCUUUUCGUAGUGUUAAUGCUUACAGUUUUGUUAGAUGGUAUACAAAACCAGAAAGCUGGUAACAACCACACGAAGAUCAUCCAAUGG